RNAcentral lists this ribosomal RNA (171 nucleotides) under uncultured bacterium. Its description in RNAcentral is "partial 16S ribosomal RNA". It matches the Rfam family "Bacterial small subunit ribosomal RNA", at positions 335 to 527 of the family's 1533-position model. The record is from RNAcentral.
ACUCCUACGGGAGGCAGCAGUGGGAAAUAUAGAAAAAUGGGCGAAAGCCUGAUCCAGCAAUGCCGCGUGAGUGAUGAAGACCUUAGGGUUGUAAAGCUCUUUUACCCGGGAUGAUAAUGACAGUACCGGGAGAAUAAGCUCCGGCUAACUCCGUGCCAGCAGCCGUACCCG